Molecule: long non-coding RNA, 5816 nt
Filed under: Marmota monax (woodchuck)
Lineage: Eukaryota; Metazoa; Chordata; Mammalia; Rodentia; Sciuridae
Rfam family: Gag/pol translational readthrough site (bases 1036-1097)
Source: RNAcentral
GCUGGCCCGGCUAAAGGAACUCACCGGCGGUGAAUGAUUGAAAACCCUGGAGCUCCCGUGAUGCUCCCCCUCCGUCCCUACGGGCCAAUGAUUGACGACGGCCAUGGGGGAGAAAUGCAAGCCUACCAGUAUUGGCCUUUCUCCUCUUCAGACCUAUAUAACUGGAAAAAUAACAAUCCCCCUUUUUCCGAGGACCCCACCCGGCUCACAGGUCUGGUUGAGUCAUUGAUGUUUUCACACCAGCCUACUUGGGAUGACUGCCAACAACUCCUAGGGACUCUCUUCAUGACAGAGGAACGAGAGAGAAUCCUCCUGGAAGCUAGAAAAAAAUAUCCUCGGACCAGAUGGGCAACCGACACAACUUCCCAACAUAAUCAAAGCCGGCUUCCCCUUGAACCGACCCAACUGGGACCCCAACACCUUUGAAGGUAGGGAGCAUCUGUCCACUUAUCGCUGGGCUCUAAUAGUGGGUUUCUGAGCGGCCGCUAGGCGACCAACUAAUUUGGCCAAGGUAAGAGAGAUUAUUCAAGGGCCUGAUGAAUCUCCCUCUAUGUUUCUAGAGAGAAUUAUGGAGGCAUAUAGGAGAUAUAUUCCUUUCGAUCCUCAGGCAGAGGAUCAAAAGGCAUCUGUCACAAUGGCCUUUAUUGGGCAAGCUGCCCUGGAUAUUAAAAAAAAGUUACAACACUUAGAUGGAUUACAAGAUAUGACUUUGAGAGAUUUAGUCAGAGAAGCCGAGAAGGUAUACUAUAAGAGAGAAACUGAGGAAGAGAAGGAACAAAGGAGGGAGAAAGAAAGGGAGCAAAGGAUGAGAGAAGCAAAAGACAGACUAAGGCAUUGACUAAGGUCCUGGUCACAACAAUAAAUAGGCCAGAAAUUAAGAAACAGGGAGACAGGAAAGGAUACCUGGGCCCACGCCAGAGGCCACCCCUGGCCUCAGAGCAAUGUGCCUAUUGUAAAGAAAAAGGACAUGGGGCCAAAGAGUGCCCUAGAAAGAGACAGCCAUGCCAGCCAGCCAUUCUGACUCUGGAGGAUGACUAGGAAAGUCGGGGCUCAGAUCCCCUCCCCGAGCUCAGGGUAACUUUUGAAGUGGAGGGGACCCCAGUAAACUUUGAAGUGGAUACAGGGGCAGUAUACUCAGCCCUUAAGGCCCCAUUGGGCCCUCUAUCAAAUAAAAGGUCUCUAGUUCAAGGGGCUAAUGGCAGUAAAUAUGGCUUGGACAACUAAGAGGACCAUGGACCUGGGGAAAGGAAAAGUCCAUCACUCCUUCCUAGUAAUCCCAGAAUGCCCGGCUCCAUUGAUGGGCAGAGAUCUGCUCACCAAGCUCCGCGCCAGAAUAACUUUUAACCCUGAAGGCCCCCAAGUGGAAUUUCUAAAUCCUUCAGUAAAAACUCCUAUAGUCACAGCUUUAACUAUGUCAGUAGAAGAUGAACAUCAACUCUUCACACCCCCCAAAACUGAUCAAACAGGCAAGCUACCCCAGAAAUGGAUAACAGAUUACCCAGAUGCCUGGGCAGAAACUGCUGGGUUAGGCCUAGCCGUGAAACAACCUCCAAUAACAGUGGAGUUAAAAACCUCAGCCUCCCCAAUCAAUGUCAAACAAUAUCCUCUGAGCAAAGAAGCUAAAGAUGGGAUAAGGCCCCAUAUUCAGAAAUAUCUGGCCUUAGGGGUCCUAAGGCCCUGUCAAUCGGCCUGGAACACUCCCCUGCUACCAGUAAAAAAGCCAGGAACCAGGGACUAUUGCCCCGUUCAAGACCUAAGAGAGAUCAAUAACAGAGUGCAGGACAUUCACCCCACAGUACCUAAUCCGUACAAUCUGCUUAGCAAUCUGAACCCUGAGCGGAAAUGGUAUACUGUUCUGGACUUAAAAGAUGCUUUCUUUUGCUUGCCUCUGCAUAAAGAUAGUCAGUUGCUAUUUGCUUUCGAGUGGGUAGACCCAGAAACAAGAACGUCUGGUCAACUAACUUGGACUAGACUCCCACAGGGGUUCAAAAACUCCCCCACUCUCUUUGAUGAAGCCCUCCACAGAGAUCUCAACAACUUCAGAACUACGCACCCCGAAGUCACCCUGCUUCAAUAUGUGGAUGACCUGCUACUGGCAGCCGACACCAAGAAAAACUGUGAGUCUGGAACCCAAGCACUAUUAACUGAGCUUGCUCAACUCGGGUAUAGAGCGUCUGCCAAAAAGGCCCAAAUUUGCCAGCAAGAAGUAAUCUUCCUGGGCUAUUCCCUUAGGGGCAGUAAACGAUGGCUCACUGAGCCCAGAAAACAAACCGUUGUGCAGAUACCACCCCCAUCUAACAGGAGGCAACUCAGAGAGUUUCUUGGGACUGCUGGCUUUUGCAGGUUAUGGAUACCUGGGUUUGCGUCCUUAGCUGCUCCUUUAUACCCCCUGUUAAAGGGAGAUGCCCAAUUCCAAUGGACCCCUGAGCACCAGCAAGCUUUUGAUAACAUCAAAAGGGCGCUGCUAUCUGCUCCGGCCUUAGCACUCCCGGAUGUAGAAAAACCCUUUACUCUUUACAUUGAGGAAAAGAAAGGAAUAGCACGAGGAGUGCUCACUCAGAUUCUAGGGCCCUGGAAAAGGCCUGUAGCCUACUUGUCUAAAAAGCUGGACCCAGUGGCUAGUGGAUGGCCCCAUUGCCUAAAAGCUAUAGCAGCGGCGGUCCUUCUAAUCAAGGAUGCUGAUAAGUUAACGCUGGGGCAGAAGCUAACCAUUAUAGCCCAACAUGCUCUAGAGAGCAUCAUCCGCCAGCCACCAGACAGAUGGCUAUCAAACUCUAGAAUAACACACUAUCAGAGCCUGUUGCUCGACAAAGACAGAAUAACGCUGGGACCCCCCGACCCGCUUAACCCGGCUACACUACUACCUGAACAAUCAUCAGGACCUAUCACUCAUGAAUGUCAACAUAUACUGGCAGAAGAAACCAGUAUACGACGGGAUUUAAAGGAUCAGCCACUGCCCCACCCUGAGGUCAUAUGGUUCACUGAUGGCAGCAGCUUUGUGGCGGGCUGGGGCAGCAAUAGUUAGUGGAACUAAAGUCAUCUGGUCCUCUAGCCUCCCAGAGGGAACAUCGGCUCAAAAGGCAGAGCUGAUCGCCCUCACGAAGGCAUUGGAGCUAGUGGCAGGCAAAAAGGCCACCAUAUACACAGAUAGCCGCUAUGCCUUCGCUACCGCUCAUAUACACGGGGCUAUCUACCAGAAAAGGGGACUAUUAACCUCGGCGGGAAAAGAAAUAAAAAACAGAGAUGAGAUCCUCCGCCUCCUCUCAGCAGUGCAAAGCCCUAGGGAACUAGCUAUAGUGCACUGUCCAGGACACCAGAAAGGAAACGAUCCCGUAGCGGUCGGGAACAGGAGGGAGGAUGAAGAGGCUAAAUUGGCAGCCCUAAACGGAGUAACCAUGUUAACACUUUCCACACCGGGGGGAACAUAAGUCAGGAGAUUUAACUACGUCGGAGCACCCCAACAACUUAACAUCUAAGGACACUGACACUGAACUCCUCGACUUCACUGAGCCCAGCCUGCUAUUUCAGAAAGCCCUACACUACAUUAAAAAUGUACAUCAACUCACUCACCUUGGUUCAAAGAAACUGCAGGCAUUCCUGAAGGAUCAAGAACAGAGUUUUCCACUAACCGACUCACAGCGAAAGGAAAUAGCUGAACGGGUAACAAAAGCCUGUAGGGUCUGUCAAUUGGUUAAUGCUUACCCUUCCAAGCUUCCUGCAGGAAAGCGCCUAUGAGGAACCAGACCACGACAAUUCUGGGAAGUGGACUUUACUGAAAUUAAGCCAGCAAGGUAUGGACUUAAAUAUCUCCUAGUCUUUGUAGAUACAUUUUCAGGAUGGAUUGAAGCCUUCCCCACAAAAAAAGAAACAGCGCAAAUGGUGGUCAAAAAGAUCCUGGAAGAUAUUUUUCCAAGAUACGGCCUGCCUAAGGUAAUAGGGUCUGAUAAUGGACCAGCGUUCGUGGCCCAGGUAAGUCAGGGGUUAGCCAGGACCCUGGGGAUUAAUUGGAAGUUACAUUGUGCUUAUAGACCCCAGAGCUCAGGACAGGUAGAAAAAAUAAAUAGAACCAUUAAAGAGACCUUAACAAAAUUAAGCUUAGAGACCGGCAUAAAAGAUUGGACUAUGCUCCUGCCUUAUGCACUGUUUCGUGCAAGAAAUACUCCCUCUGUUUCUUUGUGUAACCUCACCCCCUAUGAAAUUCUCUAUGGUGCCCCUCCUCCAGUAAGGGACCUAACCCCAACUCUAAGACCUAACGAUUCCUUUCACACCCCCUUGCUUGACAGACUUAAAGCUUUUGAAAGAACCCAGCGAUACCUGUGGAAACAGCUGGCCACUGCCUACCAACCUGGGGACGAAAGGACUCCACACCGAUAUCAAGUGGGAGACUUCGUCUACGUAAGACGACAUCAGGUGUCAUUCCUGGAACCCCGCUGGAAAGGACCAUACCAGGUGCUACUUAUAACACCUACAGCGGUAAAGGUAGACGGAAUCACUUCCUGGAUCCAUGCCUCUCAUCUCAAGCCUGCGCCCUGUCCAGACUCUGGCUGGAAAUCCUAAGUUAACCCUCCCAGAAGUAACCGGGGCAGGCUUAUGUAUAGGGUCCCCACCUAAAAGUAAACAACACUUAUGUACCCAGAUAAAAAAAAUUAGCACCACACAGGGUUUCCUUACCCCUGAAAAUGGAACCUGGUGGGCAUGUGAUUCAGGGUUAACUCCUUGCAUUUCAGCCCAGGUAUUUAACAGCUCUGUAAAUUAUUGUGUAAUGGUGCAGAUGUUUCCCAGAGUGCUCUAUCACGACGCAGGUUCAUUUGAAGAUCAAAUAGGGGGGCAUACAACCCGGUUCUGCCGGGAACCUGUAUCCCUCACUUUAGCCAUCCUAUUAGGAAUAGGAGUUGCUGCAGAGAUGGGCACAGGAACCACUGCCCUGGUCCAUGGGACACAACAAAUGACCCAAUUGGAAGCAGCAAUAGACCAAACCUUAAAGAUAUUAGAAACCUCCAUCACAGCUUUACAGGAAUCUUUAACCUCUCUCUCUAAAGUUGUUUUACAGAACAGGCGAGGGUUGGACCUCCUCUUCAUGAGAGAAGGGGGCCUUUGUGCUGCAUUGAGGGAAGAAUGUUGUUUUUAUGCCGACCAUACUGGAGUUGUAAAAGAAUCUAUGAGUAAAUUAAAAAGACGCCUUGAAGAGCGUCAGCGAGAGAUAGAGGCCCAAAAAGGGUGGUUUGAGUCUUGGUUCACACAGUCCCCCUGGUUAACUACGCUUUUAUCAGCUCUGGCCGGUCCAUUAAUAAUCCUCAUAUUAUUGCUAACUGUAGGACCCUGUUUGCUCAACCGUGUAGUUUCCUUUCUCCAAGCUCAAAUUGGACAAGUUAAACUUAUGGUAAUCAGACAACAAUAUGCCUCACUGGCAGAAAUAGAGUGUGAUACCCCUCAAUAAUUAUGAUUUCUUACUUUUAAGAUUAAAAGUAGUCAGAAAAAGAAGUGGGGAAUGAAAAGGUUAAGAAUGUAAAAAUUAAGUUCUGUUUUCCUGGAACCUGAAACUCAUGUAGAAGUUGAAAACAACUCCCGGAAAUGCCCACUAAAUGUAUGUUGAAAUCUCCCCUGAUCAUCUGGUUGCUCUACGAAAACAACCCCUCCCAGAAACCAUGCAAUGAUUGGCUAUGCUGUAUGUGAAGUCCCUGCCCUCUCCAAGGAAAGUAUAUAAGCUCUGCUUAAGCUGUUCCCGGGGCUCUCUCUGCUCUAUUCAAGUGAGCUCUGAGCCCCAGCAUGCUGGACCCCCAAUAAACCCUUUGCUGUUGCAUGAGACAGUCUCUUGG